Molecule: microRNA precursor, 85 nt
Filed under: Capitella teleta
Lineage: Eukaryota; Metazoa; Annelida; Polychaeta; Capitellidae
Description: microRNA mir-263
Rfam family: mir-263 microRNA precursor family
Source: RNAcentral
GCGCUCCCAACCCUUCUUGGCACUGGUAGAAUUCACUGAAUUCUUUUAAGUUCAGUGAAUUACCAGUCUCAAAAAUUGUGAGUGA